CCGCUCUCGUGUUAUUUGCAUUCUGAGAUUUCCAAGGAAUGUGAACGUCAAAAAGAGCGCACAGCAAUAUUUCCUGUCCAGAAAUCUGCAGUGACUCCUUCGGAAUGGAAGGAGCCACGAUU
This 122-nucleotide small nucleolar RNA is filed under the name Phlebotomus papatasi. RNAcentral describes it as "small nucleolar RNA psi18S-1377". The record is from RNAcentral. Lineage: Eukaryota; Metazoa; Arthropoda; Insecta; Diptera; Psychodidae.